This 250-nucleotide ribosomal RNA is filed under the name uncultured bacterium. RNAcentral's name for it is "partial 16S ribosomal RNA". It matches the Rfam family "Bacterial small subunit ribosomal RNA", at positions 524 to 772 of the family's 1533-position model. The record is from RNAcentral.
UACGGAGGGGGCUAGCGUUGUUCGGAAUUACUGGGCGUAAAGGGCGCGUAGGCGGUGCGGUAAGUUAGGCGUGAAAGGCCCGGGCUCAACCCGGGAACUGCGCUUGAGACUGCCGCGCUCUGAGUCCGAGAGAGGAUAGCGGAAUUCCCAGUGUAGAGGUGAAAUUCGUAGAUAUUGGGAAGAACACCAGUGGCGAAGGCGGCUAUCUGGCUCGGUACUGACGCUGAGGCGCGAAAGCGUGGGGAGCAAA